AAAACGCACAAAAUCAAUUAGCUGGAAGGAAGACUGGCAAACAAGCACAAGCUUCUUGUUAAUAUAUGAAAUCGAAAACUAUUGGGUACUCUAAAGGCAAUCCAGAAGUCAAAAAGGCUGUCGUUAAUGCGGUUCAUAUGCACAGUUAAUGAACGUCUCUCUCUUUUAUGUUAAAAUCAAAAGGGUCACCUCAUCACUGACGAUUUGCUUUAUGAGAAAGAAAUUCCGUCUCCUCUCCGUAAAUAAGUCACAUUAACUCAGCUGCAAAUCCCGCGGCCUUUAAAGUCAUCCCGUGAAGACGGAGCUCCUGAGCGCGGCCUCUCAAUAAACGCCAAGCGCAUACUCAGAAUACCCGGCUCUCCCUGCCUCAGCCGCGUCUCUUACGGGUAACAGACCAGUAGGCGCCGCUGCACAUGCUGACGGCUCCCGGCUGAACUCAUCUGCAAUUUCUAGAAAUCAAACGUUUACCCGAAAUACCUGCACCCGCCAGCGCAACGGGUCGCAGACUUGGCCUUCCACGCCCCCGGCCUUCCACAGCUGCACGCCCACGACAUCACAUGGUAUUAAAAAUAGAAAGAGAAGAGCAGUUGUACAGUUUUUCGAAAAGGAGCUGAAAACGUUUACGGAAUAAUGGCACAACAAAAUCGGGUAUGGACUCACAGAAUAAAAAGCUCGCCACAUUUCUCAAUUUAUGGAGAGAAUAUAAAACCAACACUGAUUAAAUAUCACAAUAUGUACAAGUGCCCACUUUGCAAAAAGAAGGGAGACUAUAGCAUCAUGCAAUCUCACCUUCAGAGCCAUGAAGACCAUGUUGUAAAUUAUGCAGGUUUUACUAUCUACAGAUGCAACACAGGGUGUGUCACAAGUGGCCAUUUCCAUUGUUGUUUGUGUUUAAAAGUCAUUGUCAAAAGACAAAGGUUUUUAACUCACUUACAAAAAUGUCAAAAAUUGGUCACACCCAUGCCCACCAGAGAGACUGCUCCCGCUGUGCCCACCAGAGAGACUGCUCCCGCUGUGCCCACCAGAGAGACUAUCCCCAGUACUUCUCACAAAGAGACUGUGCCCUCCAUUGCCACAAUCAAUGUCAGUUCAGCAGCGCCUGUCACUAGUUUUAGAGGGUCACAAAUUCUACAAUAUGCAAAAGAGAAGAAGAUAUUUUGUUCUUUUUGUAAUUUGAGGUUGUACAAAAAAAAUCUCAAGUUACAUAUGAAAAGACAACAUUCCUCAACAAACAUUGAAAUAAAUGAAUAUAACAGGAUUCUUUCGGUUUGUAUUGAUUCUAGAAGGGGCAUUUUUGCAGUGGUAAACACUUCCACUGGACCUAGAUACCCCAUUCAUGUUGAAAAGUGCACAUGGGGAGCUAAACAUGUUGUGAUCUGCGAGUUAGAGAAAUGCAAACGAGCAUCAGAAUUUUCUCAAAGGAGUGGAUUCAUGGGAUUUGAAUGCUUCCAUCUGAGGUCUUUGGCCUUCUCUCCAGUUACUGCUAUGUCAGACAUUACACUUCAGGAAGAAGUAUUAACUAGAAUGAUACAAGCAAAAUGGUUUGGUAAAGAGACAAUGAAAACUUGUUUACAUCGUAAACAGAUGGCAGAAACACAGCAGACGCCAUUAAGUAAAGAGAUUUCUCUUGUAGAAGAAAAAUCACAAGUAUAUCUAUCAGUGUUUGAACCACGUAUAUCAUUCAGGUCUCGUUUGGGGAGGGUGAUGGUCCAUUAUAACAAGAAAUUUAAUAUCUGACACUGUGCCUCGUGCAAGCCUGUAUCUUCAUGUAUACACAAGGCUAUAUUUAAAUGGCAUUUAUUUCAAACACGCCCUGAACACUUUAAAGAAGUUAAGACAACAGGAAAUGAUGUUUUUGGCUCUGCCACCAUUUACAGUGGCUCCUAUGAUUCUGAACAACAGUCAUGUGAUGUUUUCUGUCCUUCUAGAGGCCAUUUACUUGUGAGACUUGUGCAGUACAUUCAGAGGAAUAAAACAAUCCCAGAUGUUUUGCCUUGUGAAGUUUGUGCCACACCAAUAAUAGGUGACUUCCCAAUGCACUUGAUUCCAUAUGAGACAUUUUGUGCCCAGUGCCCUGAUGUUUCCACAUAUUACAGACGACGUGGACUUUGUGACAGUUUCUUCCGUUAUCAAGAAUGGAAAGAUGGCUUACAUAAUUUUGAUGACCAUAUCAUUAUGAGCAUCCAUCCGUGUCUUUUUUUGCGUAAUUCAAUUCAGAGUCACACAGCUGUUGAGAGGGUCAUAAGCAGCCUUGAAAAAACUAAUGAAGUGCCCUACCCAAGUCAUAAUGCCAUAUUGCAUGCAUACCUACAUUUUGAGGCACUGAUGUGCCAUGAUUAUAAUUUCUCUUGUGCGCACUGUGGGCAUCAUCCCCCUAUUGUUAUCAUGGACUUACACAAAAAGGGUGUCUUUAAAAUGGCUGCAAGUGACGUGAAAGAACCCCCACCAGAUUUUAAAGGGGAGGUGGACAUGGAAGACUAUUGGAAGUCCGUGGAAAGAGAAAUUCUUGGUAGAGGCUUUGUGAAAUGCAACCGUGAUAGUCCUUUUGUAAUUUUGCCAAGUUACCAUCAGUGGGCACCCUGGAUAGGACCCCAAACCAGAGCAAUUCACAUUGUUGCUAACACAGAGUAUGCUAAAGUACAUGUGUCAAAUAAGUCCCAAGAUGAAAGUGACAUUGAUAUUACAGAGGAGCGUCUCCCAAAUGAAGUCAUGAAUUCAAAGGUUAACCCCAUCCGAAAGCUUUGUAAACAAUGCAAGUUUGACUCUAAGGGCUCAAAAAUGGAUCUUGUCCUGCGCUUAAGGGCAAAAAUGCAAACUCGAAGCACAUAUGACAAGGUGUUUCAGAAGGUUUGGGGUGCAUCAGGCGAGUGGAGAUCAGGUUUGUAAUGGAUACCAAACUGGCACAGACUGAGAGACUUUUGGAAGUGGGAGGAGUCUGGUUGACAAGAUCAGAUUUUAAGACAAUUGGACCAGAAUCUUGAAUGGAAUCCACUAUUGGUAAUGCAUGCUUACACUUGGUGCAACAAAUUUCGAGUCUAAAGGGGAAAGACAUUUACAUGGGAGAUUUGUAUGUCACUGCCACUUGGGGGCCUCCAAGAAAUCUUGAUCCAUUGCAAAGUUUACCUGUAAGAAGUUAUCAUUUCAUAUGUAAUGAGGCCAUCAUUUUUGCAAUAUUCAAAGUACUAAUUGUAUGAAUUUACUUUCUGUUUACUCAUAUAAUAACAUAUUAAUAUUAUUUGAUUAUAGUAGUUUUAAUAUUUACUAAUAUACUCAUGAAGAAAACUUUUAGUGUUAAUGUAAAAAUGCCUUACGCAUGUUUACUUAUUUUUUCCCUGCAGGAGAAUUGGCCAACAUUCUCAAAUUCUAUUGUCUCCUGGACAAUAGAAAUCACGAUCAGGAUUUGACUUUGUAAAUGUCGUAAUUAACCUUUUUUUAUCUUUGAUACCUAAAGACAUUUUAGAUCAGCAUUUUUUUUUUUUUGCUUUGAUUCAUUUCUUGCUCCUUUGCUCAUUAGGCCUUCCAAGUCAGAUGAAUAGCAAUGACUGUGGAAUUUUCAUGUUGAUGGUAUGACCAGUUCAUAUUUUAACUCUAUUUCUGUGUAUGUCUGUAUAUAAUGUUGUGUCCAGGUUUCUUUUUGUGGUUUCUCUGUAGAAUGCGCUGCACUGUAUAUCAUCCUUGAGGCCCCCUUUGACUUUAAUGAGUGUCUCAACUCAUCUUUCAUUGCAGUAUUUGUGGAGGGAGGAUUGUAUCUGGUUGUGGGUACCCGUUUUUGAAACCUUCGCCAAUUUGUGUUGAGUUACGUUAAUUUUAUUUAUAUAAUUUCUUGUUUGUUAGUUUGUUUUACUUUAAGCAUACUGUCCCUAGUGGUUUGGAUGUUCCAGAAACACCUACCUUUCAAAAUCCAGUUAAUUUAAAUGCAUGUUUGUAAUGGUUUGCAUAAAUAUUUUUAUAACAUAAAACUUCGUUUUAAUAACUUGAUUACGUUUGAUCCUCUUUAGAAUGACAUGCCAGCUUUGAGGACGUGGUGGUGUAUAAUGUUGCCUGAGAACUCAAGCCCCAAGGGGAAAUACUCACAUUGGACUGAGUUAGCAAAUGUCCUUCUAAAUGAUGACCAAGAACAGAAGAAAAAACGAGAAGGUCUAGACUAUACGGAGCCAUUAAUGAAUAAACAGAAGAUGGAAGAAGCAUCAGCCUCUCUUCUCCAACAUCUAGCACAGGGCACCAAUGAGCAGCAUCUUCUGGAGGCAGAGAAGUGGUGUACUGAGAAUAAUUCUGUCUUCAAAGGGCAAGUCUCACUCCCUUCAUUACUCUCAAUGGAGAAGGACGACAUAGAGGAGACCCUUCAAAAAUUUGAUUUGUUAACUGAAUUUCCAGAAGAAGAGGAGAGGGAAUACGUCCUUGAACCAUUUACCUUCCUUGUUUCAGAGAUGGAAGAUAUGCAUCUGUUUUUAGAGAAUAUGAGAGGAAAAAGAAAAAAGACUGCGUUUUGUAAGAAAAUGUAACAUAAGCAUACAUGUCCCUCAUUGUUCUAUUACCUAUAAUUCUAGUUCUUUUUUUAUAUUUUGUUUAACUUUUUGCUAAUAAAUGUUGCAAACCA
Polypterus senegalus (gray bichir) is the source of this 4597-nucleotide RNA transcript. RefSeq lists it as uncharacterized. The transcript has 16 exons. Lineage: Eukaryota; Metazoa; Chordata; Cladistia; Polypteriformes; Polypteridae. The record is from RefSeq and is a predicted model, not a curated record.